AUUGAACGCUGGCGGCAUGCCUUACACAUGCAAGUCGAACGGCAGCACGGGAGCAAUCCUGGUGGCGAGUGGCGAACGGGUGAGUAAUAUAUCGGAACGUGCCCGGUCGUGGGGAUAACGUAGCGAAAGCUACGCUAAUACCGCAUACGAUCUACGGAUGAAAGCGGGGGAUCGCAAGACCUCGCGCGAUUGGAGCGGCCGAUAUCAGAUAGGUAGUUGGUGAGGUAAAGGCUCACCAAGCCGACGAUCUGUAGCUGGUCUGAGAGGACGACCAGCCACACUGGGACUGAGACACGGCCCAGACUCCUACGGGAGGCAGCAGUGGGGAAUUUUGGACAAUGGGCGCAAGCCUGAUCCAGCAAUGCCGCGUGCAGGAUGAAGGCCU
Molecule: ribosomal RNA, 385 nt
Filed under: uncultured bacterium
Lineage: Bacteria
Description: bacterial SSU rRNA
Rfam family: Bacterial small subunit ribosomal RNA
Source: RNAcentral